GACGAACGCUGGCGGCGUGCCUAAUACAUGCAAGUCGAACGCAGUGGGGACGGGUGAUUAACACGUGGGCAACCUUUCAUCAGAGGGGAUAACACUUGGAAAAAGGUGCUAAAUCGACAUUGAUGGAUGGACCCGCGGUGCAGUAGCUAGUUGUGGAGGUAACGGGUCACCAAGGCCACGAUGCAUAGACGGCCUGAGAGGGUGAUCGGCCACACUGGGACUGAGACACGGCCCAGACUCCUAGGGGAGGAAGCAGUGGGGAAUAUUCGGCAAUGGCAGAAAGUCUGACCGAGUAACGCCGCGUGGGUGAAGAGGGUUUUCGGAUCGUAAAGUUCUGUUGUCAGGGAGGCGGUAUUUGACCAGAAAGCCACGGCUAACUACGUGCCAGCAGCCGCGGUAAUUC
RNAcentral lists this ribosomal RNA (403 nucleotides) under uncultured bacterium. RNAcentral's name for it is "partial 16S ribosomal RNA". It matches the Rfam family "Bacterial small subunit ribosomal RNA", at positions 28 to 526 of the family's 1533-position model. The record is from RNAcentral.